RNAcentral lists this ribosomal RNA (179 nucleotides) under uncultured eukaryote. RNAcentral's name for it is "partial large subunit ribosomal RNA". It matches the Rfam family "Eukaryotic large subunit ribosomal RNA", at positions 40 to 213 of the family's 3401-position model. The record is from RNAcentral.
AUAUUAAUAAGCGGUGGAAAAGAAACUAACUAGGAUUCCCUCAGUAACUGCGAGUGAAGUGGGAAAAGCUCAAGCUUAAAAUCUGAGGUCAUCUAGAUCUCCGAAUUGUAGUUUCGUGAACAGCUUCACGGACAGACUGCUGCAGUAUAAGUUCCCAGGAACGGGACGCCAAGAAGGAU